RNAcentral lists this non-coding RNA (31 nucleotides) under Mus musculus (house mouse). Lineage: Eukaryota; Metazoa; Chordata; Mammalia; Rodentia; Muridae. The record is from RNAcentral.
UCCUUUUAUAAAAGUCAAGUACUUACAAGUA